RNAcentral lists this ribosomal RNA (432 nucleotides) under uncultured bacterium. RNAcentral describes it as "partial 16S ribosomal RNA". It matches the Rfam family "Bacterial small subunit ribosomal RNA", at positions 29 to 507 of the family's 1533-position model. The record is from RNAcentral.
ACGAACGCUGGCGGCAUGCCUAACACAUGCAAGUCGAACGAGACCUUCGGGUCUAGUGGCGCACGGGUGCGUAACGCGUGGGAACCUGCCCUUAGGUUCGGAAUAACUCCCCGAAAGGGGUGCUAAUACCGGAUAAUGUCUUCGGACCAAAGAUUUAUCGCCUUUGGAUGGGCCCGCGUUGGAUUAGCUAGUUGGUAGGGUAAAAGCCUACCAAGGCGACGAUCCAUAGCUGGUCUGAGAGGAUGAUCAGCCACACUGGGACUGAGACACGGCCCAGACUCCUACGUGAGUCAGCAGUGGGGAAUAUUGGACAAUGGGCGAAAGCCUGAUCCAGCAAUGCCGCGUGAGUGAUGAAGGCCUUAGGGUUGUAAAGCUCUUUUACCCGGGAUGAUAAUGACAGUACCGGGAGAAUAAGCUCCGGCUAACUCCGUG